UGCACACAGCACAAUUCAGAAAUACCCAGG
This 30-nucleotide non-coding RNA is filed under the name Homo sapiens (human). Lineage: Eukaryota; Metazoa; Chordata; Mammalia; Primates; Hominidae. The record is from RNAcentral.